CAAUGCGAUACCUAGGUGCGAAUUGCAGAAUUCAGGUGAAUCAUCGAGUCUUUGAACGCAAAUGGCGUUCUCGGGGUCUUCCCGAGAGCACGUCUGCCUGAGUGCCCGUUUCCUGUGGCCGCUGCAGUUGCUUGCAGUGGCGAGUUGAAGCGUCGCCCUGCCCAGUCGGGUGGGGCGUCCUUUGAAAGAGGGCAAAUGCUGCAAGGUCUGCAUGGUGGGCUUGCGACUGAGCCACUGUCGAUGUGUCCUGCCCCCCCCCUGAAGCGACGGAUGAUGUGGCACUGUCAAUGUGGGCCUCAGGUCAGAUGAGGCGACCCGCUGAAUUUAAGCAUAUUAAUAA
This 340-nucleotide ribosomal RNA is filed under the name Aplysina aerophoba. Its description in RNAcentral is "eukaryotic LSU rRNA". The stretch from base 1 to 107 matches the Rfam family "5.8S ribosomal RNA", at positions 51 to 154 of the family's 154-position model. Lineage: Eukaryota; Metazoa; Porifera; Demospongiae; Verongiida; Aplysinidae. The record is from RNAcentral.